Molecule: transfer RNA, 65 nt
Filed under: Artyfechinostomum sufrartyfex
Lineage: Eukaryota; Metazoa; Platyhelminthes; Trematoda; Plagiorchiida; Echinostomatidae
Also listed under: 1 other name
Description: tRNA-Thr
Source: RNAcentral
GGAAAGUUAGUUUAGUAUUUAGAAUUCUGUUUUUGUAAAACAGGGGGGUUUUAGGAUACUUUCCA